This 461-nucleotide ribosomal RNA is filed under the name uncultured beta proteobacterium. RNAcentral's name for it is "bacterial SSU rRNA". It matches the Rfam family "Bacterial small subunit ribosomal RNA", at positions 200 to 642 of the family's 1533-position model. Lineage: Bacteria; Pseudomonadati; Pseudomonadota; Betaproteobacteria. The record is from RNAcentral.
AGGAAAGCAGGGGAUCGCAAGACCUUGCGCUCUUGGAGCGGCCGAUGUCUGAUUAGCUAGUUGGUGAGGUAAAGGCUUACCAAGGCGACGAUCAGUAGCUGGUCUGAGAGGACGACCAGCCACACUGGGACUGAGACACGGCCCAGACUCCUACGGGAGGCAGCAGUGGGGAAUUUUGGACAACGGGGGAAACCCUGAUCCAGCCAUGCCGCGUGAGUGAAGAAGGCCUUCGGGUUGUAAAGCUCUUUCAGCCGGAACGAAACGGUCACGGCUAAUACCUGUGAUCACUGACGGUACCGGAAGAAGAAGCACCGGCUAACUACGUGCCAGCAGCCGCGGUAAUACGUAGGGUGCAAGCGUUAAUCGGAAUUACUGGGCGUAAAGCGUGCGCAGGCGGUUUUGUAAGUCAGAUGUGAAAUCCCCGGGCUUAACCUGGGAACUGCGUUUGAAACUACAAGGCU